CAAUAGCGUAUAUUUAAGUUGUUGCAGUUAAAAAGCUCGUAGUCGGAUUUUGGCUGAGAACGAUCGGUCCGCCGUUAGGUGUGCACUGAUUGGUCUCAGCUUCCUGGUGAGGAGGUGUGCUUCACGGCCACUUAGUCACCGUGGUUACUUUGAAAAAAUUAGAGUGUUCAAAGCGGGCUUACGCUUGAAUAUAUUAGCAUGGAAUAACACCAUAGGACUCCUGUCCUAUUUCGUUGGUCACGGGACGGGAGUAAUGAUUAAGAGGAACAGUUGGGGGCAUUCGUAUUUCAUUGUCAGAGGUGAAAUUCUUGGAUUUAUGAAAGACGAACUUCUGCGAAAGCAUUUGCCAAGGAUGUUUUCAUCGA
RNAcentral lists this ribosomal RNA (365 nucleotides) under uncultured eukaryote. RNAcentral's name for it is "partial 18S ribosomal RNA". It matches the Rfam family "Eukaryotic small subunit ribosomal RNA", at positions 592 to 976 of the family's 1831-position model. The record is from RNAcentral.